This 502-nucleotide ribosomal RNA is filed under the name uncultured bacterium. RNAcentral describes it as "bacterial SSU rRNA". It matches the Rfam family "Bacterial small subunit ribosomal RNA", at positions 28 to 489 of the family's 1533-position model. The record is from RNAcentral.
GACGAACGCUGGCGGCGUGCCUAAUACAUGCAAGUCGAACGCACUCUCGUUUAGAUUGAAGGAGCUUGCUCCUGAUUGAUAAACAUUUGAGUGAGUGGCGGACGGGUGAGUAACACGUGGGUAACCUGCCCUAAAGUGGGGGAUAACAUUUGGAAACAGAUGCUAAUACCGCAUAAAACCUAACACCGCAUGGUGUAGGGUUGAAAGAUGGUUUCGGCUAUCACUUUAGGAUGGACCCGCGGUGCAUUAGUUAGUUGGUGAGGUAAAGGCUCACCAAGACCGUGAUGCAUAGCCGACCUGAGAGGGUAAUCGGCCACACUGGGACUGAGACACGGCCCAGACUCCUACGGGAGGCAGCAGUAGGGAAUCUUCCACAAUGGACGAAAGUCUGAUGGAGCAACGCCGCGUGAGUGAAGAAGGUUUUCGGAUCGUAAAACUCUGUUGUUGGAGAAGAAUGUAUCUGAUAGUAACUGAUCAGGUAGUGACGGUAUCCAACCAGAAA